Molecule: ribosomal RNA, 337 nt
Filed under: uncultured bacterium
Lineage: Bacteria
Description: bacterial SSU rRNA
Rfam family: Bacterial small subunit ribosomal RNA
Source: RNAcentral
AACGAACGCUGGCGGCAGGCCUAACACAUGCAAGUCGAACGCUCCGCAAGGGGGAGUGGCGCACGGGUGAGUAACACGUGGGAACCUACCUUCUGGUACGGAACAACCAAGGGAAACUUUGGCUAAGACCGUAUACGACCUCCGGGUGAAAGAUUGAUCGCCGGAAGAGGGGCCCGCGUCCGAUUAGGGUAGUUGGUGAGGUAACGGCUCACCAAGCCUUCGAUCGGUAGCUGGUCUGAGAGGAUGACCAGCCACACUGGGACUGAGACACGGCCCAGACUCCUACGGGAGGCAGCAGUGGGGAAUAUUGGACAAUGGGCGCAAGCCUGAUCCAGCC